RNAcentral lists this ribosomal RNA (274 nucleotides) under uncultured bacterium. RNAcentral's name for it is "partial 16S ribosomal RNA". It matches the Rfam family "Bacterial small subunit ribosomal RNA", at positions 523 to 796 of the family's 1533-position model. The record is from RNAcentral.
AUACGGAGGGAGCGAGCGUUAAUCGGAAUUACUGGGCGUAAAGCGCGCGUAGGCGGCUUUGUAAGUCGGAUGAGAAAGCCCUGGGCUUAACCUGGGAAUGGCAUUCGAUACUGCAGAGCUAGAGUAUGGUAGAGGGAAGUGGAAUUUCCGGUGUAGCGGUGAAAUGCGUAGAUAUCGGAAGGAACACCAGUGGCGAAGGCGACUUCCUGGGCCAAUACUGACGCUGAGGUGCGAAAGCGUGGGGAGCAAACAGGAUUAGAAACCCCAGUAGUCC